CCUUUGAAACUCCGUUUGGUACAUCUUUAGAAACUGCAUUUGAAGGUUCUUUUAAAACUACGUUUGGAGGUUCCUUUGAAGCUAUUUUUGAAGAUUCCUUUGACGCUACUUUCGGAGGUUCCUUUGAAGCUACUUUUGAAGGCUCUUUUGAAAGUUGUCUUGAAAGUUCAUUUAGCGCUUCUUUCAAAGGUUCUUUUGAAGCUUCUUUCAAAGGUUGUUUUGAAGCUACUUUCAAAGAAUCUUUUUUAAUCUCCUUUGGACUUUCCUUUGGUAGUUCUUUACCAUUUUCUUUCUGAGAACCUUUCGAUAGAUCCUUUUGAACAUCGUUUUGGAUCUUUGAAUUCGGAGAAAUGGACUUAUUUGUUUCAGGUGAAGGUGGAGUGGUUUGUUCAACGGAUUUAUUCGGUACAACUCUUUUAGAAAAAGGGGCUUUUGGGGGAGUAAAUUUUGCAUGAGUUGCUGGGAUAGCA
Long non-coding RNA from Bradysia coprophila, 470 nucleotides. Lineage: Eukaryota; Metazoa; Arthropoda; Insecta; Diptera; Sciaridae. The record is from RefSeq and is a predicted model, not a curated record.